Molecule: ribosomal RNA, 468 nt
Filed under: uncultured bacterium
Lineage: Bacteria
Description: partial 16S ribosomal RNA
Rfam family: Bacterial small subunit ribosomal RNA
Source: RNAcentral
GACGAACGCUGGCGGCGUGCUUAACACAUGCGAGUCGAACGGAAAGGCCCUGCUUUUGUGGGGUGCUCGAGUGGCGAACGGGUGAGUAACACGUGAGUAACCUGCCCUUGACUUUGGGAUAACUUCAGGAAACUGGGGCUAAUACCGGAUAGGAGCUCCUGCUGCAUGGUGGGGGUUGGAAAGUUUCGGCGGUUGGGGAUGGACUCGCGGCUUAUCAGCUUGUUGGUGGGGUAGUGGCUUACCAAGGCUUUGACGGGUAGCCGGCCUGAGAGGGUGACCGGCCACAUUGGGACUGAGAUACGGCGCAGACUCCUACGGGAGGCAGCAGUGGGGAAUAUUGCACAAUGGGCGGAAGCCUGAUGCAGCAACGCCGCGUGCGGGAUGACGGCCUUCGGGUUGUAAACCGCUUUCGCCUGUGACGAAGCGUGAGUGACGGUAAUGGGUAAAGAAGCACCGGCUAACUACGUG